GUUCCCCGAAGGAAAGUCCCAGUUGCCCGCCACCAGCCCCACCUCCAGGAGCGGCGGAGAAGCAGAGACUUUCCAGUCGAGCCGACCUAAACCUUCCUGGCUUUGCUCCUAGCUCGCUGUGUGACUUUGUUGAUGCCCUGGUGGAGCGGAAGCGGGGUCAAUACCUCCACUGGCCAGCAGAGGACAGGCGAUGACCAGCCUUCUCGCCCAGUUGCGCAUCCUCUCCGCCGGCAGGCGCCACGAGGGAAACAGGACGGGAUACAACUGCAGAAGCAACAAGUGAACCUUUAAAGAUGCAUAUGGGGCUGCACAAAGAGAAGAGAGGAACUGGAGAAACCAAGGAAGUAAGGAAAAAGUUUAAUAGGGAAAACUUGCUUUCUGCAAACAACUGAAAAAGCCGCCCUUGGAAGCUGUUUCUUUGGGCCUCAUGGAGCAGCUGGAACCUGCGCUGUGAGGCCCCCGACAGGACGAACUGUCGCCCACUGACCCCCCAGCGCGGCUGUCACCAUGGCCAGCAAGAGGAAGUCCACCACCCCGUGCAUGAUCCCCGUGAAGACCGUGGUGCUGCAGGACACCGGCGCCGAGGCCCUGCCCGAGGAGCCCGUGCCCGCGGGGCCCCCGCAGGAGCCGCCCCCAGAAGCUCCCUCCGCCAGCGGCGAGGCCACCCAGGGCACCAGCGGUCCAGACAGUGCCGCACUGGCCAACGGGCACCGGAGCACCUUGGACGGCUACACAUAUGCCUGUAAAUGCUGUGACUUCAGAUCCCAGGACAUAACCCGGUUUGUGGGACACCUGAGCUCAGAGCACACAGACUUUAGCAAAGACCCGAACUUUGUAUGCACUGAAUGCAGUUUUCUGGCAAAAACUCCCGAGGGGCUUUCUCUGCACAAUGCCAAGUGUCACUCGGGGGAAGCCAGCUUUGUGUGGAAUGUGGCCAAGCCAGACAAUCAUGUCGUCGUGGAGCAGAGUGUCCCCGAGAGCACCAGCCCUCCCGAUCCAUCGGGGGAGCCAAACAUGGAAGGGACAGAUGGACAGGCGGAAAUCAUCAUCACCAAAACUCCAAUCAUGAAGAUAAUGAAAGGCAAAGCCGAAGCCAAAAAAAUUCACACGCUCAAGGAGAACGUCCCCAGUCAGCCUGCUGGGGAGGCCUUACCGACCCCUUCAGCCGGGGACACGGAGGUGAAAGAGGGGGACCACGCCUUUGUCAACGGGGCAGCCCCGGUCAGCCAGGCCUCUACCAACUCCGCAAAACCCCCUCACUCGGCCAACGGGCCCCUGCUGGGGACGGUGCCGGUGCUGCCCGCGGGCAUCGCCCAGUUCCUCUCCCUGCAGCAGCCGCCCCCGCACGCCCAGCACCACGCCCACCAGCCCCUGCCCACGGCCAAGUCCCUCCCCAAAGUGAUGAUCCCGCUGAGCAGCAUCCCCACGUACAACGCGGCCAUGGACUCCAACAGCUUUCUGAAGAACUCCUUCCACAAGUUCCCCUACCCAACCAAAGCCGAGCUCUGCUAUUUGACCGUGGUCACCAAGUACCCGGAAGAGCAGCUCAAGAUCUGGUUCACUGCCCAGAGGCUGAAGCAAGGUAUCAGCUGGUCCCCGGAGGAGAUUGAGGACGCCCGGAAGAAGAUGUUCAACACGGUCAUCCAGUCCGUCCCCCAGCCCACAAUCACUGUCCUCAACACCCCGCUGGUUGCCAGUGGCGGCAACGUCCAACAUCUCAUCCAGCCCACUCUGCCUGGCCACGUGGUGGGCCAGCCAGAGGGCACAGCCGGGGGACUUCUGGUCACUCAGCCACUGAUGGCCAAUGGGUUGCAGGCACCCAGCUCAUCUCUCCCCCUGGCAGUCACAUCUGUCCCCAAGCUGCCCGCUGUCGCGCCCAUUAACACCGUGUGUUCAAAUACAACGUCCGCCGUGAAGGUGGUGAAUGCCGCCCAGUCCCUCCUCACGGCGUGUCCCAGCAUCACCUCCCAAGCCUUCCUGGAUGCCAGCAUCUACAAAAACAAGAAAUCUCAUGAACAGCUGUCAGCUCUGAAAGGGAGCUUCUGUCGGAACCAGUUCCCAGGACAGAGCGAAGUUGAGCAUCUGACCAAAGUGACCGGCCUCAGCACCCGUGAGGUGCGGAAGUGGUUCAGUGACCGCAGGUACCACUGCCGAAACCUGAAGGGCUCCAGGGCCGGGCUGGCCGGGGAGCAUGGCGCCCUCCUCGUCGACUCUGUGCCCGAGGUGCCCUUCUCCCUGGCGUCCAAGGCCCCGGAGGUGACCUGCCUCCUGACAGCGGCCACCCCAGCUACCCCCCCUUCUGCCAAGCGACAGUCCUGGCACCAGACCCCCGACUUCACACCAACCAAAUACAAGGAGCGGGCCCCCGAGCAGCUCAGGGCCCUGGAGAACAGUUUUGCCCAAAACCCCCUUCCUCUCGACGAGGAACUGGACCGCCUGAGGACCGAGACCAAAAUGACCCGCAGGGAGAUUGAUGGCUGGUUUUCAGAGAGACGGAAAAAAGUGAGUGCCGAGGAGGCCAAGAAGGCUGAGGAGGGCGCCUCUCAGGGGGAGGAGGAGGCCGCCGAGGAUGAGGGGGAGGAGGGCUCUGCCAGGGACCCGAGGGUCCCAGGGGAAGAUGGCUCCCCAGAAACGCCCGGCAGCCACGUGCUGGCAGAACGCAAAGUCAGCCCCAUCAAAAUCAACCUCAAGAACCUGCGAGUCACGGAGGCCAACGGCAAGGGCGAGCUCCCGGGGCUGGGCGCCUGUGAGCCCGAGGACGACGUGCCCAGCAAGCCAGCGGAGCAGCUGCCAGGCAAGGUGAGCUACAGGAAGACGGCCCAGCAGCGGCACCUGCUGCGGCAGCUCUUCCUGCAGACGCAGUGGCCCAGCAACCAGGACUAUGACUCCAUCAUGGCCCAGACGGGCCUGCCGCGGCCCGAGGUGGUGCGCUGGUUUGGGGACAGCAGGUACGCCCUGAAGAACGGCCAGCUCAAGUGGUACGAAGACUACAGACGGGGCAACUUCCCCCCCGGACUGCUGGUCAUCAGCCCCGGCAACCGGGAGCUGCUGCAAGACUAUUACGUGACCCACAAGAUGCUGUACGAGCAGGACCUGCAGAGCCUCUGCGACAAAACCCAGAUGAGCGCCCAGCAGGUCAAGCAGUGGUUUGCCGAGAGGAUGGGUGAGGAGACCCGGGCCGUGGCCGACACGGGUGGUGAGGGCCAGGGCCCCAGCGACCCUGCAGCAGUUCACAAAGGGAUGGGCGACACCUAUUCAGAGGUGUCCGAAAACAGUGAGUCAUGGGAACCCGGUGCCCCUGAGGCCAGCUCAGAGCCCGUUGACACGCCGAGUCCCCAGGCUGGACCUCAGCUGGGUAAGGAGCCUGUGGGGCUGUGCCGUCCUCUGUGGGUCUGGGGGGCACCUGUGGCAGGCACCGAAUCCAGUGCCGGGGCAUCUGCUGUUUCUAAGGCUGUCUGGCAGCAGGACCGUGUUGUCUGGCUGCUUCGGGGGGCACCUGGCAGCAGAAUCCAUUGGAGCAUCAUCAUAUGAUAAAGGCUUGACACUUGGUUUUUUUGUUUCGUGUUUGUUAAACCUGCACAGGGGAAGGAGUGUAGUGAACCUCCAAGGGCCCACCCUUUUCUAGUCAUUUCUUAGCCAAAGGAGAAUAGGUCAGAAUGUCAUCUGAGCCAGAUAGAACCACGACCGCUGGGUAAGAGAGAGAAUAGGACUUACGAGGAAAUUCAACCCCAGUUGGUGAACAAAAGCAGAGGGAGCCUUUAAUUGACCUUAGAUACACAAAGUGCUUUUUUUUCUAAAUGAUGAAAAAUCCUGUAAUUUGCAUUGCAGUUAUUCUUCCUGAUAUAGAGGUAGUGGAAAAUCUUCUUCCCUCUUAGACAUAACAUGGAAUCGAAUGCUUGAAUUUUGUUCCUCAUUUUCUCUGGAUCAGGACAGUAGUACUUGAAAGAAAGCUUUAGAAGAUUAUUUUACUGAAGACAGUUUGAAGCCUCAGACAAAUCACGUUAUUGGGUGUUGAUUUUCUUGGGUCUUGAUCUCUGAGUUCCUGGCCUCUCCCUUCCCUCCCACCCUCCUCUUGGGUGGCCUUGUCACAGGUUGGCCAGGAGCGAGGUAGCUGAGCUCUUCACAGGAAGCUGUGGAAACCAAGGAAGUAUCUGGAUUCCCAGAUUCCCUGAUUUGGGACCUUUAGAAGGUGGUUCCAGGGCCGGCGUUUCUGGACUCGACCUUGUUUCCUCCAAGCCCCUAAACUGACUGAACCGGAACCGACGGCUGUGAAGGCCUGGCCGGGGCGGCCGCCCUCCACAUGGAAGGGCCUGACCCCCCUCUGCUGCCCCGGGCCGCCGCCGUACCCGGCCCGCCAUGCUCACACAGGUCUCCACGCGGCCAAGCCUGCCGCCGUCCGCACCCGGCCCGCCACCCCAGCGAGCAGGGAGGAGCGUCUGGCAGUUCUUCCGCCCACAAUGUAGGACCUUUCUUUUGCCUUCCAGUGGAUAAAUAGUUCAGAUUUCAUAUUCAUAGACACAGAAUCAAGUUUUUAACAUAUAAAUCUGCCUAUACACAUUUAAUAAAACAUCAGAUUAUAAACACUUUCAUUACAUAGAAACUUUGGUUAGCAAAGCAGUACGUGGUCUUUUAUAUCAUCUCUGGAAAUGCCCUGUGUCUGUUCUCUGGAGAUCGCUGGGCUGCGUGUUCCCGCACCUUCCAUGGUCAGGCCGGGGUUAUCACACGCUCAGAACCACACCUGCAACCGCUGGGGCCCCCUUUGCUCUCCUUCGGGAAGGUGGUACCUUUGAAGAGACCUCUGCUCCUUAAGCGGUGACCAGCAACAUUGCAUAGCAGGUUUGCCUUGCCUUACGGGAUGAUAGUGCAGAACAUGCUGUUACCCGCAGUUCAGAAAACUGACCGGUUAUGUGAUCAGUGUUUGAUGCUUACCACUCUCGAAAGUUGUUACAGUAAUUCUGCUUUUUCAUGGGAGUUUGAAUCAUGGACCAUAACUCUUCAGUGAUCAGAUCAACUAAAGAAACAUUUGUUGUUAAGCCUAAUGUACUGCCCUAUGUGCCGCCUUUUUUUUUUUUCAGUCUAGACACAUUUAGAGGAAAAUUGACAAGCGAAACAGGGAUGGGGGAUGGGAGUGAAGGCGCACAGCUGCUGGGGCUCUCUCUGCCCUCUAUCGACCCUCACCCCAGAGCCGCCUCUGGUUUGGGAAGGCAGGCCCACGCUCGCCUGGUUAGACUGAGAGCUGGCGGGAUUCGGGGACUUCUCGGAAUUAUCGGAGCCAGGGUGGCCCUCAGCACAAAGACCUGCAUGUGGGGUUCCCAGCAGAAGACCCAGAGUCCUCCUGGCCCCCGUGCCUGGGGCCUGGUUGGUGUGCUGGACAUCGCUGGACAGGUCCUUGUGAGGAUGUUUUUAAAGUUCUAUAUUUAUAUCCCCAGACUUGGAACCAAGAUCUCUGUCUACUUAAGCCUAACCCUCAUAUCCAUUUUUUUAAUUGAGAAAAGUCACAGGAAAAGGUGCCUUUGAAACAUUGAGAAAGUUGCCUACAAAGCUGUGCUGAACGGUAAAUCCCGAUCUCCCCGAGACCGGCUGCCCCGAGAGCAGCAGGUGAAGAGGGGGCUGGCAAAGGUGCAUCACCUCCCAGAAACCACCCGCUUCCCAGAGCACCAAGGCCUCGGAGACCCCAGAGACAGGGCAGGGGCUUUGGGCAAGAAUACUGGGGGGGGCGGUGUUCGGCACGGUCCUUCUCCCCCGUCCCCCCGGGAACUGGGCCGGGCAGGGCAUCUCCCAGGUUUGGCUCUGAGCACAGAGACGGGGGUCGCACCUCCUGCCUCCAGGAGAGGCUUUUUUUCGGAAACCAAAAGCCCUUGAACCAUUGUUCUUCUAAAGAGUCUCCUCUUGCUUGCCCUGUCCUGUUAGGGACCACCUCUUCUUGGUUUCAAACAGGUGACUUGUGAGGACUUGGCAAGUUUGGCAGCCUGUUUUUGUAUCCUUUCCAUAUUUAGCCCCAAGGCCUCUUUGUGGAAUUGCCCAGAAUGGCGAGUGAUUGCCUUCCUUCAGAGAACAGACACCUAGAACUUUUCCUGUAGUGGUUAUGUACAUGCAGAUUAAUUUGUAUGUAUCCAUAUACAGCACAGAUACUCGUUUGAUGCUUUACUUGUGACGCGUCUGCCUGACGCAGCACGUGGGUGUUGGGGAGAGCAGCCCGUGUCGGGGGGUUGCGGGGGAGGCCGGGGCGGUCCCGCGCGAAGCCACAUCCGAGUGUCUGUGACGCCACCCUGCCGGCGUCACUCCCAGAGCCCUGCGUGCCCCAGCCGAGGGCCGUGUCUUUACAGCGGAGUUUCUUGGUUAUUUUAUUUGUAUUCAUGUCAUUUACAACCCAAACAGCGAAACAGAAAACAUAAAUUACAUGGUGGACAAGUUCACGCAGGACGUAGGGCCCCGAGCUCAGCACCAGCUCGUCCUUAAGAAGUGGAAGCGUCACGGUGCUGCCUGCGGGCAGGUUUUGCUCACAGGAGUCAGCCUGCCCGCUAGCCAGGGCGACCCCCCGAACGGCGAGACUGCCCAGGCUGGACAGACCCUCCUCCUUCCUUUACUCUGGGACCCGAGUGACUAAGGAAUGAGGUGAUGGAGACAGAAAUGGUUGGUUCAUCGAGCAGGUGCCUAAAGGGACGUCGCAGCAGGUACCCAGGGCCCUGGGGGCAAAACCAGGAACACAGCCAACCGGCUGCAGAGACACGGCCGCAGCAGCCCGGAGCCGGCGCGCGCCAGAGUGCGGUGGGGAUGCAGGACGGCCGCAGCCGGCCCCGUGGCCAGGGAGGUCACCACGGUUCGCGCCCCACCCAGGGUUAGACUGUGCUGCUGCCUUCAGGAGAGGGCAGUCUGUGGGCUCUAGAGUUGAGGGAAGUAGGGUGGGGUUAGUCUCUCCCAAAGAAAAAGCUUGUUUCGUAAGGUGACUAAUCUUUCCCCUCUUCUCUGUAUGCACUUGGACUCAUCAGAGAUGGUGAACUAUGUCAGUGUUUCUUGUUGCCUGUGUCUUGUACAUGUUUGGUUUAUUGUAUUUUUUACAUGGGGUUGUAGAUGCAGUUUUAGUAGGUGAGCCCAGAUCACCAUUCUGACAAAGGAAACCUGGGUUUAUGGCACAGAUGCUCUGCGUACUUCGAUUACGUGUAUUAAUUCUUGACUGUUGACGAGCUUUGUGAUUUGGAAGGUGGGCUCUCGUUUUCCUGAGUCGUGGGCUCCUGAAGUGGAAAGCCUGGCUGGAGGACUCGUGGCACCUGGGGUGGGUGGCCCUGUACGACUUGGAGCUCCUUUCGCAGCCAAGUGCCCACCUGCUGUCGGGAAGCAAAGGUGGGAGGUGGGCGAGGGUCGGUGGUACCUGCAGGUCCCGAGUGCGCUCAUGGCCCUGGGAGGCCGUUCCACCGGGAAGUCUCAGCAUGUUCUCCAGGCCAAGAUGUGGGUGCCAUGGGUUUUGUCCUGCUCAGUCCGUGGUCCCAUGGCAGGGCCUGUGACACCCCCUCUCCCCCAUGUGCCAGGCUGCCUUCCACAGAGGCUCAGUGUCGCCCUUUUGGGGCACCUCCUCACCCACAGCUCCCUGCCUGUGCCGCCCUGCCUUGGGCCCGGUUGCCUCUUGUUUUCCUGUCCUCUUCUCGGACCAGAAUCCUCGGGUUGGAGCGGCUCUGUCUAUUCAAACAUCGCAGCCCAAGUGGAUAAAGGCACUUUGCAGGGGAGGAGAACCAGCCAAGAAGAAAAUCUUAAACAAACCAAACCUGGAGUUUGGGCUUUUCCUAAAGUUUCUUCCCCCUUUUUCCUUGCUCAGACUUUACCUGGGGCAGGUUAUUGGUUUGACUUACCUUUUGUAUUAUGUCUAGAUUGUCCUGUAUCCCAUUGAUUGGCAAGGCUCAGUUAUGUGCUGGAGAAGAAAAGUCCUCUAGACACGUAAAGGUCGGCGUGGCCAGCCGUUCCAGGCAGAAGCCGGCAGCCUGCCCAGGUCAGGAGAGUAACGGGGCUCCAUCCUCCCCACUCCCACUGGAGGCCCCUCUCCAGCUCUCCUGAACCGGCUUCCUUCGCUCCCUUUCUUGGGAGCACAGGCCCUCCCAGCCUUCCUGCCCGGGACUGGGGGGCCAUCUCCGUGUGACUGGGGGAGCACCUGCCCUCACAGAAGCUCCAACACCCGAAAAAGUGGGGAGUGUGGAGCCCACGCCCUCUCCUGAACGGGCCCCUCCCGGAGCAAGGCUUCAGUCUGUUUUGUCUCCUGUGGUCCAUUCACAGUAGCCGAGCCGAGCAACGCUGGGGCUGGGGCGGCUGCAGGCAACCUCUCAACGAAGGGUUGGAUGCUGACUUGGGCCGAGUGAGUGGAGGGUGGAGGUGGGAUCACAGAGCCGCUGGGCGGCCCAGCACUAGGUCUAGAUGGAACCCACAGACCUCGGUUGGAAUUCGUUUCUGCUGCAAUCUGUGUGUGUUCCCAGUGCUGUCGCGCUGGGGAGGGGGGCGAGGGCUGACGUCAGCUCCCCCUGGUUGGCCCAGAGCCCGAGUGGGAGGAGGAGCAGACGGAACCCCGCCGGGGGACGGGAGGCACGCUCUUUGGCUCUUCAACCCUGAAGAACCGUGACUUGCCUGUCAGUCUGGCCUCUCCUUUGCUUGGAGCCCCAGCCCUGCAGCCAGACUGGAGACCGACAGCCUGGACCCCGCGGGAACCAACCAUCCUACCUGAGCAGGGGUGGGGACCCAGAGUGUGGGGUGAGCAGGCGCCGCUGACCCUGUGGACAGGGGCGGGGCCAGCACCUGUUGCCUCGCGUUGUUAAAAUCCUGUCUUGUGGUUUGUGGGACCGUGAGGAUUCGCAGAGAACGCGUAGUUCCUGCUUUGCUGUCUUAGGCCCCAGGCUUUCACAGCCCUCAGGCUGCUCGGGCCAGAGCCCCACGGGGUGGAGCGGGCUGUCUCCCCUCCGGCUGCGGGAGUCUCUCCUGCUGUCCACUCGGGGCAGGUGGCAAGCGGCGACCUGAGAGGAGUCUGCGUGCUUACCUGCCGUGAGCGCCCUUUCCUGAAUUCAGGAGCCAGGCUCUGCCGCGUGUGUGUUGAUGAGUAGCUUUUCUCGGCUAAUGCUUUAUGACAUCUGUUCCUUCCCUUGAUGAGUGGUUUGAAGGCCCCCGAUGUGACUGGAGUCGGAGGUGGAAUGUCUCGGGUGGAGGCCGUCUGGAGUCGUGGAGCGCAGAAGGCUGCAGGCCCGUGGUCUUUCUCAGGAGUCAGCCGCAGAGCAGGCACCGGGAGAGGGGUGCCUGCUAAUCCUGUAAUUUGUGUUCAGAGAGAGACUGUCAUUCAUCCCUGGCUCCGGCCCGGCCCGCUGCCCUGUCCCGCGGUUUGCUGCAGACGUGGCCCGGAGAGCCAGCGCCACCCUCAGCGGAUGCAGCCUGGUCGGCAGGCCACUGGGUGAUGCGCGCGGGGAGGGGUGCUUGCCCCCGGGCAGCGGGUUCCCACCCUGCCCCCCAGCACCCCGCCUUGUUCAGUGCGUCGGGAGGGCCAGACUGUGCCAUCGUUGUUGUUGAAAAGAGACCUCGUCCUCCCCCAACCCCGCCCCCCUGACGUGGUUGACUGAAAGGGUACUGAGCGGCGCCGCCUUUGUGCAAGUCGGGAAGAGGUUGCCAGAGGCCUGCAGGUUCCUGGUUUUCUGCCACCCACUUCCGGUCUGGUGUUCAGCUCAGACCCUUUGUUCCCUGAGGGCGAGGGUAUCUGUGGAAGGGAGGCUGGAGAAGGCAGGGGCAGCUGGCUUGUGGUGCGCUUCCCGUCUCCCGGAGACGCCGAAGAAGCCAUCGUCUUGGUGCUAAGAGGCCACUGCCCGGCUUCUGUUUGUCCAGAGGGCCUCUCCUCCUGCAGUGGCUGCAUGUGAGAGACCAAACCGAGAGAGAGGCACAGGCACACUUUGGCUGUCACCGGGCCUGGGUGGAGGGGGCUCUUCGCCCUAGGGACAUGUUUUUAACAGAAAGAUGGAACUUGCCUUUGGACCGGGGCUGUGCCGGGGCGGGAGGAGUGCGCUGCCCUCUCCGGGCUGAGUCUCCAGGCCUCACAAGGUCCCCUGUGGGGAUGCUGCUAUUUCUAAGAUGCAAAUUGCACAUUUCCUAGAUUUUGUAUCUGUGGAUUUGGAUAAGGGAGGGGAACAGGGACAAACUGCUUGUACAAUUUGAAAUGGGCCGAAAUGGUACUGAAAAUCUUUCGAUUGCUCCUAAAUAAAAACGUAAACGCA
Lagenorhynchus albirostris (white-beaked dolphin) is the source of this 10229-nucleotide RNA transcript. It is a transcript of the gene named zinc fingers and homeoboxes 3, with no coding region annotated. The record is from RefSeq and is a predicted model, not a curated record. NCBI's taxonomy places the organism in Eukaryota, Metazoa, Chordata, Mammalia, Artiodactyla, Delphinidae. The transcript has 5 exons.